This 3401-nucleotide long non-coding RNA is filed under the name Micromonas commoda. Its description in RNAcentral is "long non-coding RNA (MCOM_LNC000359)". Lineage: Eukaryota; Viridiplantae; Chlorophyta; Mamiellophyceae; Mamiellales; Mamiellaceae. The record is from RNAcentral.
UCAUCAGUUCGGGGCGCGCCGACCUCACGGCGAUGAAGACGACGAUCUGGCGGCCGAACGUGAGAGUGACGCUCAACGAGUAUGGCGAAGUCGAGGACACGGAGAGUGGUGGAGAGGAGGUGACGAAGCAGGGGACGAAGCGGAAGAGAGCCCCUCGCACGAAGGGGCCGUGCGAGCACGGGGUGAAGUAUCGGUCGCAGUGCAAGGUGUGCGGUGCUUGUCCCCACGGGAAGCAGCGCAGAAGAUGCAAGGAGUGCGGCGGGUCUCAAAUCUGCGAGCACGGUCGUCGGCGCUCUCAGUGCAAGGAGUGCGGUGGGUCUGGAAUCUGCGAGCACGGUCGUCGGCGCUCUCUGUGCAAGGAGUGCGGUGGGGGCUCAAUUUGCGAGCACGGUCGUCAGCGCUCUGAGUGCAAGGAGUGCGGUGGGGGCUCAAUUUGCGAGCACGGUCGUCGGCGCUCUCGGUGCAAGGAGUGCGGCGGGUCUCAAAUCUGCGAGCACGGUCGUGAGCGGUCUAAGUGCAAGGAGUGCGGUGGGUCUGGAAUCUGCGAGCACGGUCGUCAGCGCCCUUAUUGCAUGGAGUGCGGUGGGUCUGCAUUCUGCGAGCACGGUCGUCGGCGCUCUCAGUGCAAGGAGUGCGGCGGGUCUGGAAUCUGCGAGCAUGGUCGUCAGCGCCAUAUAUGCAAGGACUGCGGUGGUACAUCAAUCUGCGAGCACGGUCGUAUGCGCUAUCGGUGCAAGGACUGUCGAGGCGAACGUCUGUAAUCAAACACGCUUCCACGACAAAGGCCCGCUGGCUAGCUAGUACACGUCCCGCGUCGCCCUCCGCCCGUACCGAACCACGCGCGACUCCUCCCCCGGCGUCGGCACCACCCUCGGCGCGCCCCUCAGACCCGCCAGCUCCGACACCCUCGCAUCCGUCUCCUUCGCCUCGCGCAUGCGACGCGCCUGGUCCCACCGAUUCCUCGCGCCAAACGCGGUGUCGCCCUUACGAUCCGACGACCGGAUCCGGUCGUCGCCCCUCCCCCACUGCUGCUGGUGUAAGCCCGCGGCGGCCGGCGGCUUGUUAACGUCAGCGCCGGGUUUAAUUUUAACGUCCCGGUCGAACCCGUCUCUUCGGAUUCUGUACCCGUUGUGCGCGGCGGGUUUUUCAUCCGACCUCCAGUGCCCCGGCCGCGUUCCCCCCGCGCGUCCGUACCCGUACGCGUCCUGCGCCGGAAGCCUUCUGGAAACAUCUAUUCCGUGUCCGACACCGACGCCACCCCCGCCCGCGCCGUACCCGGCGCUAGUCCCCGGCUGGUACACCCCGUUCACCACCCGCAAGUUCUCCACGUCGCGUUUCAACAAGUCGUUGGCCUCGUUUGCGGUGCGUUCGCGUUCCCGAGUCUCGACGUCCCUCAAUCCGGCGACGAAGGCGGCGUACCGCGCGGAGUAGUCCGAGGAUAACACCCCGGGGCGGUCGGGAAGGUUCGAGGACGCCGACGGCGGCGCCCUCGGGUACCGAAGCGGCUGUUGUUGUUGAUGAUGAUGAUGAUAUUGUCGGGGCGGCGACGAUGGCGCGGCGCGUCUGCCGUGCCAGGGAAUCUCGCGGCCGCUCCCGGGUCGAUCGGCCUCGUCGAGCGCCGCUCGUUCGUUCGUCCAAUCCUUCGGCGAGUCGCGCCGCGCGCCUUCGUCGAACAGCGCGACGCCAUCGCCGUCGUCGUCGUCGUCGGCGGCGGCGGCGGCGGCGGCGGCGUAUCGCGGCGGGCGUGAGCCGUGCGACGGAGGCCGGGCGACUCGGUAUUCCGCCACCCCGGUUGGCGACGCGCGGUCCCGGCCGUCUUCUUCCCGUCCUUCUCGGCUGCUCGUUCGGCCGCCCGACGCCCUCCUCCCGAAGGACGGCCUCGCCGCGGUCAACGGCCGUUGGCUCACCGGCGUCCACCGGGAAGACGAGGCGUCGUCGUCGGCGGCGGCGGGUGACCGCAUCGGAUGUUGUUGUUGUUGCUGCUGAUGCUGUCGAUGUUGUUGUUGUUGCUGCUGCCACUGCUGCUGCUGCUGCUGCUGCUGCUGCUGUAGCUGCUGUUGUUGUUGUUGCUGCUGCCAGUCCUGCUGCUGCUGCUGCUGCCGUUGAAAGCCGAAGCUCCCGGUGGGCCGCGCCGGUUUAAGAAAGUUUCCGCUCGUCUCCGGAGGCUUACGUCGCUGCUCGAGCUCCGCCGCCACGCGCCGCGCCGCCUCCGCGCGCUUCCUCGCCGCGGCGCCCAGUCCCUCGCGCCCCCCCACCCUCGCCGUCUCCGGCCUACCCCCGUUCCUGGCCCGUGCGACGCCGAAAUUCCGCACCUCCUCGGACCAGUACUCGUCGAAGACGACGAAAUUGUUAUUCUGCUUGGCGAAGGCUCGGAGGUUGUGGUGCUUGGCCAUGAACGCCACGAGCUUGGGCGACGGCCUGUCGUACGCCAGCCGCGCGGGGUGCCGGUCCUCGCGCUGAAGGAACGCGUCGAACAGCAGCGAGCCCCAGCCGCCCCUCUGCGACGAUUCGUGCACGUAAAAGUCGAGGACGCAGCAGGGUUCCAUCUCCUCCAUCCCGCCGCUCGGCUUGGCGACGAAGAGCCUUUUGGGCCCAACCUUGAGGAUGCCGACGAGGACGGACGGGCCGCCGCGCGGGCGCGUGGCGUCGGAGCACGCGAGGUACAGACGCUGAUCCUCGAGCAGCCGGUCCUGUGGCGCGUGCGGGUGGAUGGGGAGGGGGGGGUAGGUGAGCGGGGGUGUUCAUCGUCCGAUUGUUGGCGCCGGGUGCCCGUUUUCUUCGGCGGUGCCGACGGACGUACCGUGGACGUGAUGGGCGCCGGGAGGCCCUGCGCGCGCGCGGAUCUGGCGCCCGCCUCGUCGAUGAGCGCGGAUAUCGCGCGAUACUCGUCCGGGGGCAGGCGGACGAUCGCAUCGCGCGUCCACACCGAAACGCCCCCCGGCGUGAGGCCCGCGACUCCCCUCGGAUGCUGCAUCGUCGUCUCUCGGGCGAGGCGGAGACGCGCGGGGAUCGGGCGCGCGCGGGACGGGGGGCGGCGCCUGGGGUUUAGCGCGACGGUGGGGAUGGGCCGUCAACGAUGGAAGUAUCUCGCGGCGGGUCGGCGCGCGGGGAGUGUCGGCGCGCGAUGCCGCCGCGCGGCUGGGCGCGUGCGGCGGAGUGUGCCGUUGACUCACGGGCUGGACGCUGACCUCUUGGAAAAGUCAGUUCGGGGCGCGCCGACCUCACGGCGAUGAAGACGACGAUCUGGCGGCCGAACGUGAGAGUGACCCUCGACGAGUAUGGCGAGGUCGUGGACACGGAGAGUGGUGGAGAGGAGGUGACGAAGCAGGGGACGAAGCGGAAGAGAGCCCCUCGCACGAAGGGGCCGUGCGAGCACGGGGUGAAGCCUCGGUCGAAAUGCU